GGUAGCCUGGCCGAGUGGUCUAAGGCGUCAGGUUAAGGUCCUGGUCUCUUCGGAGGCGUGGGUUCGAACCCCACGGCUAUAUUCA
RNAcentral lists this transfer RNA (85 nucleotides) under Brettanomyces bruxellensis. It matches the Rfam family "tRNA". From Rfam's summary of the family: Transfer RNA (tRNA) molecules are approximately 80 nucleotides in length. Their secondary structure includes four short double-helical elements and three loops (D, anti-codon, and T loops). Lineage: Eukaryota; Fungi; Ascomycota; Pichiomycetes; Pichiales; Pichiaceae. The record is from RNAcentral.